ACAUUAGUGUCUGAUUUAAGUAAAGAUUUGUAAAUUCUUUUAAAUAGCAUAUGAGUGUUAUCUAAUGUA
RNAcentral lists this transfer RNA (69 nucleotides) under Clavelina lepadiformis (light-bulb sea squirt). RNAcentral's name for it is "tRNA-Tyr". The record is from RNAcentral. Lineage: Eukaryota; Metazoa; Chordata; Ascidiacea; Aplousobranchia; Clavelinidae.